UACAGGGGGUGCAAACGUUGCUCGGAAUUAUUGGGCGUAAAGCGCGCGUAGGCGGCCACUUAAGUCGGAUGUGAAAGCCCCUGGCUCAACUGGGGAAGUGCACCCGAAACUGAAUGGCUUGAAUGCAAAAGAGGGUCGCGGAAUUCCCGGUGUAGAGGUGAAAUUCGUAGAUAUCGGGAGGAACACCGAUGGCGAAGGCAGGUCACUGGGCCGCAACUGACGCUGAGGAGCGAAAGCAUGGGGAGCGAACAGG
RNAcentral lists this ribosomal RNA (253 nucleotides) under uncultured bacterium. RNAcentral describes it as "partial 16S ribosomal RNA". It matches the Rfam family "Bacterial small subunit ribosomal RNA", at positions 524 to 776 of the family's 1533-position model. The record is from RNAcentral.